UGACCGUUGGGCCUCACCUGCCAAUUCAACGUUCUGACUUGGACCCCUUCACCGUGUCUGUGUAGUUGGAGCCGUUUGCUACAUUUUAAUGGAUUAUCUGUGAGUGGCAGACAAACCUUCUUACUAAGAGCCAGACAACAAUAACACAACUGCUCCCUGUAAUGCUUACCAUGCAAGCCCCAUCCCCACCAUCUCAUUCAUAUUCAGCAUUUAUCCGCUUUCAUCAGAGGAGAUAAAGUUU
Oreochromis niloticus (Nile tilapia) is the source of this 241-nucleotide long non-coding RNA. RefSeq lists it as uncharacterized. The transcript is spliced from 3 exons. NCBI's taxonomy places the organism in Eukaryota, Metazoa, Chordata, Actinopteri, Cichliformes, Cichlidae. The record is from RefSeq and is a predicted model, not a curated record.